RNAcentral lists this ribosomal RNA (242 nucleotides) under uncultured bacterium. RNAcentral describes it as "partial 16S ribosomal RNA". It matches the Rfam family "Bacterial small subunit ribosomal RNA", at positions 535 to 776 of the family's 1533-position model. The record is from RNAcentral.
CUAGCGUUGCUCGGAAUCACUGGGCGUAAAGCGCACGUAGGCGGAUUGCUAAGUCAGGGGUGAAAUCCUGGAGCUCAACUCCAGAACUGCCCUUGAUACUGGCGGUCUCGAGUUCGGGAGAGGUGAGUGGAACUGCGAGUGUAGAGGUGAAAUUCGUAGAUAUUCGCAAGAACACCAGUGGCGAAGGCGGCUCACUGGCCCGGUACUGACGCUGAGGUGCGAAAGCGUGGGGAGCAAACAGG